GAUGAACGCUGGCGGCGUGCCUAAUACAUGCAAGUCGAGCGAACGGACGAGAAGCUUGCUUCUCUGAUGUUAGCGGCGGACGGGUGAGUAACACGUGGAUAACCUACCUAUAAGACUGGGAUAACUUCGGGAAACCGGAGCUAAUACCGGAUAAUAUUUUGAACCGCAUGGUUCAAAAGUGAAAGACGGUCUUGCUGUCACUUAUAGAUGGAUCCGCGCUGCAUUAGCUAGUUGGUAAGGUAACGGCUUACCAAGGCAACGAUGCAUAGCCGACCUGAGAGGGUGAUCGGCCACACUGGAACUGAGACACGGUCCAGACUCCUACGGGAGGCAGCAGUAGGGAAUCUUACGCAAUGGGCGAAAGCCUGACGGAGCAACGCCGCGUGAGUGAUGAAGGUCUUCGGAGCGUAAAACUCUGUUAUUAGGGAAGAACAUAUGUGUAAGUAACUGUGCACAUCUUGACGGUACCUAAUCAGAAAGCCACGGCUAACUACGUG
Molecule: ribosomal RNA, 497 nt
Filed under: uncultured bacterium
Lineage: Bacteria
Description: partial 16S ribosomal RNA
Rfam family: Bacterial small subunit ribosomal RNA
Source: RNAcentral